Small nucleolar RNA from Myodes glareolus (Bank vole), 129 nucleotides. RefSeq annotates it as small nucleolar RNA SNORA70. Lineage: Eukaryota; Metazoa; Chordata; Mammalia; Rodentia; Cricetidae. The record is from RefSeq and is a predicted model, not a curated record.
GUAUUUCAAGUUAAACUGACAGGUUCCUUUCCUCGUGGCGGUCUGGUGAAUGAUGGCUGCACACAAGUCUCAGGGAGUAGUGUAGCCUAAUACUUGGAUGGGUUUCCGUGAGGAUCUGUGGAGACAUUU